GGGGCUGAACGGUUUCGACUUCGCGCAUCGAAUCAAGGGAAGCGUGCCGGUGCAGGCAAAGACCACCGUAAGCGUCGUUGCAACCAAUUAAGCGCCGAUUCCAAUCAGCGCGAUUACGCUCUCGCUGCCUAAGCGAAGCUAAUCCGUCAGACCGGGAGAGCCCUCGACCCGGACCCUGGCGUCAUCUAGAGGGACCCACCCACGGGUUCGGUCGCGGAAUCCGUGGGGACAUCAAACAGCGACUGGGAUCGUCAUCCCGGCGAGUCCGCGAGACCGGGAGAUCCAAGUAGAGGCAUAGCGGACUGCGCACGGAGAAGCCUUGAGGGAAUGCCGUAGGACCCGGGUUCAAUUCCCGGCAGCUCCACUG
Molecule: transfer-messenger RNA, 367 nt
Filed under: Mycobacteriaceae
Lineage: Bacteria; Bacillati; Actinomycetota; Actinomycetes; Mycobacteriales
Description: Mycobacterium rhodesiae_B Standard tmRNA
Rfam family: transfer-messenger RNA
About the family: Bacterial tmRNA, also known as 10Sa RNA or SsrA, is named for its dual tRNA and mRNA-like properties. Its role is to liberate the mRNA from a stalled ribosome.
Source: RNAcentral